Molecule: unclassified non-coding RNA, 3413 nt
Filed under: Hevea brasiliensis (rubber tree)
Lineage: Eukaryota; Viridiplantae; Streptophyta; Magnoliopsida; Malpighiales; Euphorbiaceae
Source: RNAcentral
AAUUAUCUGACAAAAUUGAAUGGAUUUCACAAGUUUGUUCCACCACAAGUAUAAGCAUCAUAAAACAAGUGAAAUCUUUAUCAGGACUAACAAAAUUUAAGAAAUUAAUACAAAUCCACAGAGAUAUCAUUAAGCCCCUACAAGAAAAAUUCAAACACCGAAACUAAAAUACCAAAUCCCAAAGCCAAGCGUUUCGUGUAUCUCCCACAACUUCGGUGCUUCUAGUUGAAUUUAACCUUGAACAGAGGAUGUAUGAGUUCUGAGUAUAUUACCAAUACCGCUUACUCCUGUCCAAAUUCAAAUGAAAGAACCUCCUCAGAAACAUCCAACAACUCCUCUACUUCUAUUUCUUUGGCCUCAUACUCCUCUUCUUCAUCACUGGCCUCUCCGUCCCUUAACUUCUGCCUCUCCAAUUUUUCUUCCUCGUGCAACUGUUUCCAUUCAUUGACCCAUUUAUCCCAUUCAUCCUUCAACAUUCUCCUCUUCUCGCGGUCCUGCUCACUCAAUUGCAAUGAAACAUCUUGAUCCUCUGCCUCAUACUUCUUACUAUACUUCUUCAAAUUGUUUGCUAUUUCUUCCUCCUUUUCAGGACUCAAGAAGGAUGGUGGCCUUGGGCGCCACAAGAACUGUAAAAAAUGAUACAAAACUAAUAGUUAAGCAGUGGCGGUCACAACAUCAACGGUAAAUUGGUAAUAAGCCCACAAGAAGGAACAAAAAGGCAAGGAAAAUAAGAAAUGAGACAAUCAUCCACCGUGAUUCAAUAGAGUUUAUCCAUUUUAACCAAGGCCAUUAUCAGAUGCCUUUUCAUCAAAUGCCACUUUACUUCAAAAAUGAUGUAGUAAUGUUACCAAGAAACUUCAACAACUCAACUCAACAAUUGUGAUUGUUCAGUUAAAUGACCUUAUCCAAGAAUUCAGGAAUUUAACUCUACUCAUGCUGGAAAGGGUUACUCCUCAUCAUGUAAUCCAGCACAGAAUCAGUAAAUGCAUAAAAUACAUUAAUAUCUAAAAUGAUAGUGGCAUUAUAGAGUGAACGCAGUCAGCCAACUAAUUUGAAACAAUUAAACUGAGCUUUCAGUAGAAUAAUUAAUCUUACCUGGAAGAAAUGAUCCUAAAAUGAUAGUGGCAUUAUAGAGUGAACGCAGUCAGCCAACUAAUUUGAAACAAUUAAACUGAGCUUUCAGUAGAAUAAUUAAUCUUACCUGGAAGAAAUGAUCUUUAAGUAUCCGAUAAAGUAGCUUGCCAUUGAAAGACCAGAUAUUGAAUCCAUUUUCCAUUUCAUGAUGAACCGAAGUCACUGAAGUUGCAACAUACCUCCCAGUAGGAUCCCAUUCAAUAUCUGUUGCCAUAAAAUGCUCAGUUGUUGCCAUGGUCUCGAGCUCAUCAACAUUAUAGAAUUCCAACUGUCCGUUAAAACCCUUCAAUCCAGCAAGUAUUAUAUAGUGGCCAGUAGGUGACCAGAAAAGAGCAUUUGCUUGUUUGCCUUUGAGAGUAGUGAGCUUUGAAACCCGGCCAGUGUUAUGAGCAGUCCUCAUUGAGUAAAAACUUACAUCAGGCCUUGGGCUAUCCCCAUGAAUAACUGCAAACCUAUGACCCUUUGGCUCCCAAGCAAAGGCAAUGAUCUUAUCAUUCUUAUUGUCAAGUUCCAAUACCUCUAUGGGUAUGUCCCGCUCUUUUAUUCGGAAAAGUUCAAAGCCUGUGUAUGUGGUCCUCUUUGAUUUUGUAUAACGAUCAACCUUUACAGCAAGAUAGUCCCCAUUGCUUUGCCAGUACAUUUUGCAAUCACUAACACUGAAAAGAUUCUUCUGCCUUAAUUCCUCUUUACUAGGAAUUUGAACAAGAGAUACUCUGGCUGGUUGGUUACCACCAGCAAGUUCAGGAACAAAAAGCGCCAGAAUAGGAUCAGUUGGUGACCAACUGAAGUCCAUGACAUUUUCAACCUUAAGAGACUUCUUGUCAAUAAGACUAAAGGUCUCAGUUUCGUAGACAGAGAUCAUGUUUUUCCCAAUUUUCGCAAAGUACUUGUCAUCUUUUCCACCAACCCACCUGAAAAUGGGCCAAGAUACCCCUGCAACACCACCAGUUCCUCCAAUUGCAAAUUCAUCAGCACUCCCCCUGAAAUCCCUCAUCACUUUCCCAGUUCUGACAUCAAAAAUAUUUAUCACAAUCCUAUUUGCAUCACGAGGAUUGCUUGGUUCAUGGCUGCUAUAGGUAACCAAAUAUUUCUCACCAGGAGAAAAGUCAAUCAGUUUAACCUGGGGAUGAGCAUAACGCAUUAACCUAUUAAAGGUGCUUGCACCACCCCAGACAGCAGCACCCUGCCUAUGAACCGUUGCCAAGUAUGUCCCAAGAGGGGACCACUGAACAAAACUCUCAGUCCAAUAAGCUCGUUUGUAAACAGGAUCAGGUUUCAACUGUCUUGCAUCAUUCCAGAAAACCUCAGUAUCUGAGCCAGCACGAAUCACAAACUGGUCUCGAGCUUUUUCAUCAGUAAGCCAACGUUGAAGAUUUUCCUGUAAAGGAGAAGAGCAGCAGCACGGUAUGUAUGACACAAACACAUAUAUGCACAUUGAAAAAAACAAGCAGCUUAUAAACACAAAAAGAGUUAAGGAAAGAAGAAUCACAAAUGAAAUUUGAACUGCAAAAGCUCAUCAAUAACAUUGCAUUCUCAAGGUUUUACUUUUUUUUUUUUUCAAUCAGUGAGGACUUCCUUAGGAUGGCACUCAUGAAACAAGAACAUGGUCCUUUCCUUAAUUCACCAGUAUAAAAGGAAAAUGAACAGCAAAUUAGUAAUGACAUGAAAUAGAAGCAGAACUCCAUGGAGAAGAUUUAUGACCUCAAACAAGUCCCACAAGAACACAUGUCAAACAAAAUGCACAAGCACAGAAACUAAGUUGAUUGGAUGGCAAGUGGAUCAUUUGAUGGCACUCAGGACAAGCAAAUGAGAUAGAUAACAAAGCAGAACAGCAAAAGAAAUAUUUGAACUAAUUACCCCUGGAACAUAUGGCCUAAUUUCAGGAGGUGCCCACUCAUCUGGAACUCUCAUAAAUUUGGCAAAGUCAUCAAACAUGUUGACAGCAAAAAUAUGUGAUCUGUCCAACUUGUACCCAUUUGUUUUCUCCUUAGCUAGCUCAGCUUCCUGAGAAGUGUUAUACUCGAUGAAGCAGUAACCCAAGGUUUUCUGGGUUUCAGCAUCAACAGGCAUCCAAACGCCAUCAUCCUUAAUUACACCAAUCUGGCCAUAAAUUUUGCGAAUCACACCUUCAAGCUUCUCAAAUUUUUCUCGGGGAACAACUGGCAGAUUAUCAACAACAAUGAUGUUACCAAAGCCAGUCUCAAAAUCGAGCUGUUCUUCUUGGUAAACAUCUUCAUCAUCACUAAUGAUUCCAAAGUUUUCGCCAGGAGGAAGCUGAA